RNAcentral lists this microRNA precursor (150 nucleotides) under Oryza sativa (Asian cultivated rice). Its description in RNAcentral is "partial microRNA MIR468m-3-as precursor". Lineage: Eukaryota; Viridiplantae; Streptophyta; Magnoliopsida; Poales; Poaceae. The record is from RNAcentral.
AGCUAUUCCCAUCGUUCCAUAAUAUAAGGGAUUUUGGUCGGAUGUGACACAUUCUAGUAAUAUGAAUCUGGGCGGCCCAGAUUCGUAGUACUAGAAUAUGUCACAUCCCACCAAAAUCUCUUAUAUUAUGGGACGGAGGUGCUAAAGGGU